GAAAUGCGAUAUGUAAUGUGAAUUGCAGGAAUCAGUGAAUCAUCAAAUCUUUGAACGCACAUGGCACUUGUUUUACAAGUACAACUGGCUGAGUGUCAUUUAAAAAUAAUAGCUGGAUCUGUCUCGCGACAUGGUUUGACUUGGCGUAAUAAGUAUUUCGCUAAGGACAUCUUCGGAUGGCCGCGUUGCAGGACUAAAGACCGCUUUCUAAUCCAUUGAUCUUCGGAUUAAUACUCUUGACAUCUGGCCUCAAAUCAGGUAGGACUACCCGCUGAACUUAA
Molecule: unclassified non-coding RNA, 281 nt
Filed under: uncultured Tremellaceae
Lineage: Eukaryota; Fungi; Basidiomycota; Tremellomycetes; Tremellales; Tremellaceae
Description: sequence contains ITS1
Rfam family: 5.8S ribosomal RNA (bases 1-98)
Source: RNAcentral